CAGGAAUAACAGGAAAGAGCCUUCAGGAAAGAAGCCGUGAAAGGCUGCCACUGGUUGCUGUCUGGGCAGCAGGCAGUGCUUCCUGAGACUGUCUUCAUGCUAUCAGGACUUACUGAGGAUGUAUUUUCACGGUACCAGCUGGGUUUUUUAGACGGGUAAGCCACCGAAACUUGGCUCACAUUGCAUUUACACACCCUCCCAGAGGUCCUGUUACGUUGACAAUCAAUAAGAACCAUUACAUCUGUCUUCAUUGUCGAGACAUCACAUUCCAAAUCACGGGCUGAAGAAACCUGCCACGGAGAAUUUUCUUCAUUGCCAAGCACCGUACCGGAACCACCUGACUGGGAGCUCUGGUGACUCUCCAAUGGCCAUCCUUCUCGUUCAGUCCCCCAAGUCCCCUGUACAUUUGCACGGUCGCCAAGCAUGGAAGAGCAGGCGGCCAUCUUGAGUGGCCUCCUUUGAGGGGCUGCCAGUCCUAGGUGGUUGUAUUUCUUCACGGGGGUCAGGGUGUCUUGGCUGGUCUCCUGUUUGCAGUUAUUCAUGAUUCUCAGAUUUGGGUCAAGUUCCACCACCACUGAGCUUCACCUCCACUGCCUUCACGCCCAGAGUCUUGGCAAGAGAACGAACGUCUCUCCAUUCUCUCCACCACUCCCAUCCACCCACACCGCACCCAACUCUCUCCAUAAAGGUCUCCAAGGGCCAGGGCUGCCAUCUGCAUCACGUUUCCCCUGGUUUGACUGGUUUUUCCUGCUAAGGCAGCUCAGCUCACUCCUUCAGGAGUGAUGACCCACAGAGACCUGUGGUUAGUAGACAGGACCAAAAAAGGAAAAAAAAAAUCCUUCAAGUUUGCCAGGCAAAUAGUAAAAUAGGUCUUUUCAAGAGAUUCUGAGAACCUAAAAAGUGACUUUGUUGUAAAACCUGUGAUUUUCCUUUCUCCUUUCCAAUGAGUUGCGUUUUUGAACUAUACUUAGUAUUCAGAGCUCAAAGCACUCUCUGUUCUCAGGCUUGAGAGCCAACCCUUCCUCUCAGUUAGGGGCAGGGCUUUUUGAAGAACCCUGCUGUAGUCCUUCAGAUGGCAAGCCGAUUGGACGUACUUGAGCUGACCAUCAGCCCCCCAGAUUCCACUUUCCUUUCUGAGGGAGGAAAAAGGGAAAAACGCCUGACCCGCUUACUCUUAAAAAUAUACAAAAGUUAUUCAUUAAAUUCAGCCUUCUCCAGUUAGGAGCUAGUUGCCCUAGAAGCGAGGUAAGAAGGCAAGGUCGGCUGUAGAACCUAGCCUGUGUUCCAAACACACAGUUUAACCUUCCAGCAGGCUAGCUGGGACAGAUGGCCCUUGGUGUCUGGCAGGUUCUCACUAAUUAACAUGGCGGCUGCUCUAGGAAAGCCAAUAUCAGAGAGUCCAGGGCUUAAUUGUGUUAUCCUGGAUUGCUUCCUCUCUGUUCUGUUGCUUUAAGCACUUGCUAAGAUGAAACCAGAUUCAAGAGGCGGGGAAGUCGAGGCCAUUUGUGUGCACAUGAAGGCUGGCUGCAUUUCCUGAGGUUACCUCUUCAGAUCUACAGCAGGAGACAUGAACCAAAAGGAGUAACGAGAAUGGCCCUGCCCCUAGUUCCAAAUAAAAAAUGGAUAUUUUUUCAUUUUUUUCUUUGAGUCAGGGUCUCAUAUAGCCUAGCUUGGCCUUGAACUUGCUAUUAAACUGUUGAUUUCUCUGCCUCUACCAUCUCAAGUUCUGAGAUUACAGGCAUGUCCUAUCUCACCAGGUUUAUGAAGUAUUGGGAAUUGAACUCAGCACUUCGGUUAUGCAGGACAACUGCUCUAACACCCCCAGUUCCUAUGUAAUAUGUGUGUAUAUACGUGUAUGUGUGUACGUAUAGAUAAAUGUAUGGGUGAUUGAUAGAACAGCAGGAUUUCACUCUGUUAGCCCAUCCUGGCCUUGAACUUUCUAUUUUCCUGCUUCUAUCCGAGUGCCUGAGUUAUAGGCGUGCACCAUUGUACCCAGCUAAACAGGAUAAUGUUAAAUGGCAUGAAGGGGCCUGAGCCGUCCGGUGUAUAGUCAUCAUAGAGGUGUAGAUUUUCACUAUAAACAAACAGCAGAGGUUUCUGUUGGCCAGCAUGACAUGCAAAAUGAAGCAGGGAGAUUUCAUGAGUUAGAGGGUGUGGCUGCAACGGUCAGACAGAGUAAAGGUAAAAUCCAUUUGGCAAGCGUGUGACUCACUGAGAAAAGCUUCAGGGGAGUACUUGACUCUAUCAACAGAGGCCGGUAGACUGCUUGCUGGAAGGGUGUGCCAAAGGAUGGAGAAAACACACCGGUUUCAGAUAUGCACCCCAAGUUAAAAGGUUUCAGAUUCCUGGGUCAGUGGGGAAAGUGCUUGCUGAACGAGCAUGAGGUCCUGAGUUCAGUUCCCAGAACCUAUGGGAAGCUGAACACAGUAACACCCUCUGCAGUCAGUGCUCCUUGGUGAAAAGGAAGAUGGAGACCAGCAUCCCUGGAACUCACAGGCCGGCUAGCCCUACACACACAGCAGCAAAACAGGAGACUGUCUCAAACAAGGUGGAAGGUGAGGACUGACAUCAAAUGUUGACCUCUUACCCACAUGGAGCAUCUGCUGCCCCCC
Long non-coding RNA from Arvicola amphibius (Eurasian water vole), 2612 nucleotides. RefSeq lists it as uncharacterized. The record is from RefSeq and is a predicted model, not a curated record. The transcript has 4 exons. Lineage: Eukaryota; Metazoa; Chordata; Mammalia; Rodentia; Cricetidae.